CCUACGGGAGGCAGCAGUGGGGAAUAUUGGACAAUGGGGGGAACCCUGAUCCAGCCAUGCCGCGUGUGUGAAGAAGGCCCUCGGGUUGUAAAGCACUUUCAGUGAGGAAGAACGCCUGGUGGUUAAUACCCAUCAGGAAAGACAUCACUCACAGAAGAAGCAUCGGCUAACUCCGUGCCAGCAGCCGCGGUAAUACGGAGGGUGCGAGCGUUAAUCGGAAUUACUGGGCGUAAAGCGCGCGUAGGUGGCUUGAUAAGCCGGUUGUGAAAGCCCCGGGCUCAACCUGGGAACGGCAUCCGGAACUGUCAAGCUAGAGUGCAGGAGAGGAAGGUAGAAUUCCCGGUGUAGCGGUGAAAUGCGUAGAGAUCGGGAGGAAUACCAGUGGCGAAGGCGGCCUUCUGGACUGACACUGACACUGAGGUGCGAAAGCGUGGGUAGCAAACAGGAUUAGAUACCCUUGUAGUC
Molecule: ribosomal RNA, 465 nt
Filed under: Vreelandella stevensii
Lineage: Bacteria; Pseudomonadati; Pseudomonadota; Gammaproteobacteria; Oceanospirillales; Halomonadaceae
Description: partial 16S ribosomal RNA
Rfam family: Bacterial small subunit ribosomal RNA
Source: RNAcentral